UGUUCGGUGACUGCGUACCUUUUGUAUAAUGGGUCAGCGACUUACAUUCAGUAGCAAGGUUAACCGUAUAGGGGAGCCGUAGAGAAAUCGAGUCUUAAUAGGGCGUUUAGUUGCUGGGUAUAGACCCGAAACCGGGUGAUCUAUCCAUGAGCAGGUUGAAGGUUGGGUAACACUAACUGGAGGACCGAACCCACUGUCGUUGAAAAGCCAGGGGAUGACUUGUGGAUAGGGGUGAAAGGCUAAUCAAACUCGGUGAUAGCUGGUUCUCCCCGAAAGCUAUUUAGGUAGCGCCUCGGACGAAUACCAUUGGGGGUAGAGCACUGUUUCGGCUAGGGGGUCAUCCCGACUUACCAAACCGAUGCAAACUCCGAAUACCUAUGAGUACUAUCCGGGAGACAGACUGCGGGUGCUAACGUCCGUAGUCAAGAGGAAAACAAUCCAGACCGCCAGCUAAGGCCCCAAAAUUAUAGUUAAGUGGGAAACGAUGUGGGAAGGCAUAGACAGCUAGGAGGUUGGCUUAGAAGCAGCCACCCUUUAAAGAAAGCGUAAUAGCUCACUAGUCGAGUCGGCCUGCGCGGAAGAUGUAACGGGGCUAAAACUAUAUGCCGAAGCUGCGGAUUUGCAAUUUAUUGCAAGUGGUAGGGGAGCGUUCUGUAAGCCGAUGAAGGUGUAUUGAGAAGUAUGCUGGAGGUAUCAGAAGUGCGAAUGCUGACGUGAGUAACGACAAUGCGAGUGAAAAACUCGCACGCUGAAAGACCAAGGGUUCCAGUCCAACGUUAAUCGGGGCUGGGUGAGUCGACCCCUAAGGCGAGGCCGAAAGGCGUAGUCGAUGGGAAAUUGGUUAAUAUUCCAAUACUUCUGUGUAAUGCGAUGAGAGGACGGAGAAGGUUAAGUCAGCCUGGCGUUGGUUGUCCAGGUGAAAGGUUGUAGGCAUGUAUCUUAGGCAAAUCCGGGGUACUCUAUGCUGAGAUCUGAUAGCAAGCUGUACUUGUACAGUGAAGUGGCUGAUACCAUGCUUCCAGGAAAAGUCUCUAAGCUUCAGUUACACAGGAAUCGUACCCGAAACCGACACAGGUGGUCAGGUCGAGUAGACCAAAGCGCUUGAGAGAACUCUGCUGAAGGAACUAGGCAAAAUGGUACCGUAACUUCGGGAGAAGGUACGCUGCCGACGGUGAUAGGAUUUACUCCUUGAGCUAUUGGCAGCCACAGAAACCAGGCCCCUGCAACUGUUUAUUAAAAACAUAGCACUCUGCAAACACGAAAGUGGACGUAUAGGGUGUGAUGCCUGCCCGGUGCUGGAAGGUUAAUUGAUGGGGUUAGCGUAAGCGAAGCUCUUGAUCGAAGCCCCAGUAAACGGCGGCCGUAACUAUAACGGUCCUAAGGUAGCGAAAUUCCUUGUCGGGUAAGUUCCGACCUGCACGAAUGGCAUAAUGAUGG
RNAcentral lists this ribosomal RNA (1437 nucleotides) under wastewater metagenome. RNAcentral describes it as "bacterial LSU rRNA". It matches the Rfam family "Bacterial large subunit ribosomal RNA", at positions 587 to 2010 of the family's 2925-position model. The record is from RNAcentral.